GACGAACGCUGGCGGCGUGCUUAACACAUGCAAGUCGAACGGAAAGGCCCUGCUUUUGUGGGGUGCUCGAGUGGCGAACGGGUGCGUAACACGUGAGUAACCUGCCCUUGAUUUUGGGAUAACUUCAGGAAACUGGGGCUAAUAUCGGAUAGGAGCUCCUGCUGCAUGGUGGGGGUUGGAAAGUUUCGGCGGUUGGGGAUGGACUCGCGGCUUAUCAGCUUGUUGGUGGGGUAGUGGCUUACCAAGGCUUUGACGGGUAGCCGGCCUGUGAGGGUGACCGGCCACAUUGGGACUGAGAUACGGCCCAGACUCCUACGGGAGGCAGCAGUGGGGAAUAUUGCACAAUGGGCGGAAGCCUGAUGCAGCAACGCCGCGUGCGGGAUGACGGCCUUCGGGUUGUAAACCGCUUUCGCCUGUGACGAAGCGUGAGUGACGGUAAUGGGUAAAGAAGCACCGGCUAACUACGUG
RNAcentral lists this ribosomal RNA (468 nucleotides) under uncultured bacterium. Its description in RNAcentral is "partial 16S ribosomal RNA". It matches the Rfam family "Bacterial small subunit ribosomal RNA", at positions 28 to 507 of the family's 1533-position model. The record is from RNAcentral.